This 333-nucleotide unclassified non-coding RNA is filed under the name soil metagenome. RNAcentral describes it as "partial contains 5.8S ribosomal RNA, internal transcribed spacer 2, and large subunit ribosomal RNA". The stretch from base 1 to 120 matches the Rfam family "5.8S ribosomal RNA", at positions 35 to 154 of the family's 154-position model. The record is from RNAcentral.
GAUGAAGAACGUAGCGAAAUGCGAUAAGUAAUGUGAAUUGCAGAAUUCAGUGAAUCAUCGAAUCUUUGAACGCACAUUGCGCCCGCCAGUAUUCUGGCGGGCAUGCCUGUCCGAGCGUCAUUUCAACCAUCAAGCCCCGGGCUUGUGUUGGGGACCUGCGUCCGACGCAGGCCCUGAAAACCAGUGGCGGGCUCGCUGUCCACACCGAGCGUAGUAACUAACCUCGCUAUGGAGUGGCGCGGGCGCCUGCCAUAAAACCCCCAAUUUUUACAAGGUUGACCUCGGAUCAGGUAGGAAUACCCGCUGAACUUAAGCAUAUCAAUAAGCGGAGGA